Helianthus annuus (common sunflower) is the source of this 622-nucleotide long non-coding RNA. RefSeq lists it as uncharacterized. The transcript is spliced from 3 exons. The record is from RefSeq and is a predicted model, not a curated record. NCBI's taxonomy places the organism in Eukaryota, Viridiplantae, Streptophyta, Magnoliopsida, Asterales, Asteraceae.
AACAAAACUUACUAACAAUAUAGGCAUACAACAUUUGUUUUGUUAUCUUACCGCUUGUUUUUUUUUUCGCCGUUACACAGUUACUAUAUGUCGACAGAGUUAAAUGCACAGGAUUUCCAGUUGACCGGACAAUAUACCCAAUCGUAUUCUGGAGCAAAUACGAACUGAAAAAAAGAGAACGGUUUGAGAUAAAAAGAGGUGGCUUUGGUGGAGAGGAUUUGCAUGAAGUUGGUGUGGUUAGACGGGAUCCAAGGAAAACAGAGUUACAUGCUAAUGAUGAAGUUCUGAGUAAUGAGAUUGCAUUGAUAGAAAAACAUUUGGACGUGAUGGAGGCGAAAAGAGUUACGGUGCAAAAAAAAUUGGAAGUAGUGUUCAAUGCUCAUCCAGACAACGAGCAAGUUAAAAAAUUGAUACAACGCUUUGAGAAAAUUGUACACUCAAAAAAAACAAGGGUAUCGCUGUGGCCUGAUUCCCCAAGGGAAAAAAUUGCUGGGGUGCUCUUGUCUCUUAACAAGACAGUCCAAAACCCAGAUAAUGAUUACACGGAAGACCCUGUAGAUGAUGUGCCAAACGCGGCUGCAGUGGCAAAGAUCAAUGGUAUGACCUUUUUUACAAAAAAUAU